Molecule: long non-coding RNA, 279 nt
Filed under: Mytilus galloprovincialis (Mediterranean mussel)
Lineage: Eukaryota; Metazoa; Mollusca; Bivalvia; Mytilida; Mytilidae
Source: RNAcentral
GUGCAAGCAGAGGACAGGAAAGAUAUUCGGAAUCCAUCUUUUCCCCAUGCCUUAUAUGUUAUAGUAAUAAAUUGUGAACCAAAUAAUUUGAUUAAAACCGUUUAAAAACUAAAAAAAAUGUUCGCGCCUAGCGCGAAAAAAACCUCACUUCGACAAAACAGCCAUAUCCCCACUUUUAAUGUUAAAUGGUUGCUCCCUUAGACAACGUUUGGACUGAUGCUUGUAAAAAGUAUAUGCAUUUAUCAUAUACGUAGCUCUAUUAGGGGUAAUGAAUCCGCC